UCGCAUGGCCUUGCGCCGGCGAUGGUUCAUUCAAAUUUCUUCCCUAUCAACUUUCGAUGCGAAGGUAUUGUCUUCGCAUGGUUGCAACGGGUAACGGAGGGUUAGGGCUCGACCCCGGAGAAGGAGCCUGAGAAACGGCUACUACAUCCAAGGAAGGCAGCAGGCGCGCAAAUUACCCAAUCCCGACACGGGGAGGUAGUGACAAUAAAUACUGAUACAGGGCUCUUUUGGGUCUUGUAAUCGGAAUGAGUACAAUUUAAAUCCCUUAACGAGGAACAAUUGGAGGGCAAGUCUGGUGCCAGCAG
RNAcentral lists this ribosomal RNA (305 nucleotides) under Lomentospora prolificans. RNAcentral's name for it is "Scedosporium prolificans Eukaryotic small subunit ribosomal RNA". It matches the Rfam family "Eukaryotic small subunit ribosomal RNA", at positions 269 to 573 of the family's 1831-position model. Lineage: Eukaryota; Fungi; Ascomycota; Sordariomycetes; Microascales; Microascaceae. The record is from Rfam by way of RNAcentral.